AUUGAACGCUGGCGGCAGGCCUAACACAUGCAAGUCGAAUGGUAACAGGAAACAGCUUGCUGUUUCGCUGACGAGUGGCGGACGGGUGAGUAAUGUCUGGGAAACUGCCUGAUGGAGGGGGAUAACUACUGGAAACGGUAGCUAAUACCGCAUAACGUCGCAAGACCAAAGAGGUGGACCUUCGGGCCUCUUGCCAUCAGAUGUGCCCAGAUGGGAUUAGCUAGUAGGUGGGGUAACGGCUCACCUAGGCGACGAUCCCUAGCUGGUCUGAGAGGAUGACCAGCCACACUGGAACUGAGACACGGUCCAGACUCCUACGGGAGGCAGCAGUGGGGAAUAUUGCACAAUGGGCGCAAGCCUGAUGCAGCCAUGCCGCGUGUAUGAAGAAGGCCUUCGGGUUGUAAAGUACUUUCAGCGGGGAGGAAGGGAGUAAAGUUAAUACCUUUGCUCAUUGACGUUACCCGCAGAAGAAGCACCGGCUAACUCCGUG
Molecule: ribosomal RNA, 490 nt
Filed under: uncultured bacterium
Lineage: Bacteria
Description: partial 16S ribosomal RNA
Rfam family: Bacterial small subunit ribosomal RNA
Source: RNAcentral